RNAcentral lists this unclassified non-coding RNA (197 nucleotides) under uncultured fungus. RNAcentral's name for it is "sequence contains ITS1, 5.8S rRNA gene". The record is from RNAcentral. Lineage: Eukaryota; Fungi.
UUAUUAGAUUAUAAUAAGACUACGUUUGUUACUUUAAUGUUUGUAUAAAAUGGGCAGGCUGCUCUAAUAACUUUCGUUUUCAAGACAGCCUUACAGUUCACAGGUGUUAUGGAUAUGAUUUGAUGCUAGGGACUCCGAAGAGGUCCGCUAACGUAUUCAAUUCACUAAUGAUCCUUCCGCAGGUUCACCUACGGAAA